UUAUGACCUUACCCACCUAAAAAGUACUAGUGGUGGGUGAUAUUGGUUAGAAAGUUAUUCACUUCGAGGAAAAUCAAUUUCAAAAGGCAAAUCCACUUCCAGAGACAGAUUCCUUGUUGAAAAACAAAGAAAUAGUUCAACAUGAUGAAACGGAGACGAAGUGAAAGGGCACCAUCAUUUACAGAGCCAAUAAUGCAAUCACAUGAUUGUGCAACCUGAAGGGUUCUCGUCGCUGAAAUAUUGCUCACCACGGUUGUUCAAAUAAGAGGGCCUGCCACCACCGUAACUGUCAUAAACGGGCCUUGCAUAGUACCCGUCGUAAUAGUUCAUGGGCCCACCGUAUUCGUAGAAAGGCCCAACGGGCCUACCUUCAUAGCAGGGAGCAGGAGCAUAGAGCAUCCCAAUUGGAACCGCCAUCGGUGGUGCUAUAUGUGGCUGAACGGGUAACGCAGCAGGUGCCGGCUUGUCUUUGGGCUUUUCCGCUUCCUUGGGUUUUUCGGCUUCCUUUUUGGGAGCCUCUGCUUUAGGCUUUUCCGCGUCUUUCUUUUUCUCAGGCUCAGACUUGGGCUUCUCGCCGCCGUCUUUCUUCUUCUCGGGCUCGGCCUUGGGCUUACCGGCUUCUUGUUUAGGAGCGUCGGCUUUAGGUUUCUCCGCGUCUUUCUUUUUCUCGGGUUCGGGCUUGGGCUUAUCGGCCUCCUUCUUAGGCUCGGCGGGCUUGGGCUUGGGUAGGUCUAAUAUCUCAAUGCUCUUGAUGGAGCCUCCACCUUUGUAGCAAAGCUUGUCCCUAAUUUUCUCGGGGCUACAACACACCACCGUAAUGAACACCAUGUUUGCCUUCUCAUCGUAUUUCUGGUCCCGAAUUUCUCUUGUUCACAAAAUUUCAACAUCCAAAAAAUCAACUCAAUUUGAUUCCCUCCUUAAUGUUUGGUAUAUCCAGAAAAUAAAUGUAUGCAAAUUGCAAAAUUUAUCGUGAUUCUAACGUAUGUAUAACACACGUAGUAGAGAAAAUUAAAGCAAGUGGUGAUGAACUCACGAGGAUACUUGGCGAGAACUUUCUUAACUUUCUUGCAGCAUUUUCCACACUCAAGGUCAACCUUGAGUUUCAUGAUAGUCACCUGAAUUAAUGUGUUCAAUAAAAACCACCCAUCAGAAUUAUACUACUCUAUAU
RNAcentral lists this small RNA (1168 nucleotides) under Vigna angularis var. angularis. Its description in RNAcentral is "Non-protein coding transcript". The record is from RNAcentral. Lineage: Eukaryota; Viridiplantae; Streptophyta; Magnoliopsida; Fabales; Fabaceae.